Molecule: ribosomal RNA, 400 nt
Filed under: uncultured bacterium
Lineage: Bacteria
Description: bacterial SSU rRNA
Rfam family: Bacterial small subunit ribosomal RNA
Source: RNAcentral
UGGGGAAUAUUGCGCGAUGGGCGAAAGCCUGACGCAGCAACGCCGCGUGGGCGAUGAAGGCCUUCGGGUCGUAAAGCCCUGUCAGAGGGGACGAACGGAUCGGGGAGGAAAUGCCCCGGUAUUGACGGUACCCUCAGAGGAAGCACCGGCUAACUCCGUGCCAGCAGCCGCGGUAAUACGGGGGGUGCUAGCGUUGUUCGGAAUUACUGGGCGUAAAGCGCGUGUAGGCGGGUGACUAAGUCAGGUGUGAAAUCCCGUGGCUUAACUACGGACGUGCACUUGAAACUGGUCGUCUGGAGUGCGGUAGAGGGAAGGGGAAUUCCCGGUGUAGAGGUGAAAUUCGUAGAUAUCGGGAGGAAUACCGGUGGCGAAGGCGCCUUCCUGGGCCGUUACUGACGCU